GGAGUUGUAGCUCAGUGGUAGAGCACUUGCCUAGCAUGUGUGAGGCCCUGGGUUCGAUCCUCAGCACCA
RNAcentral lists this transfer RNA (69 nucleotides) under Marmota marmota marmota (Alpine marmot). It matches the Rfam family "tRNA". Rfam says of the family: Transfer RNA (tRNA) molecules are approximately 80 nucleotides in length. Their secondary structure includes four short double-helical elements and three loops (D, anti-codon, and T loops). The record is from Rfam by way of RNAcentral. Lineage: Eukaryota; Metazoa; Chordata; Mammalia; Rodentia; Sciuridae. RNAcentral also lists the same sequence under 1 other name.